RNAcentral lists this ribosomal RNA (885 nucleotides) under Triticum aestivum (bread wheat). Its description in RNAcentral is "partial small subunit ribosomal RNA". The record is from RNAcentral. Lineage: Eukaryota; Viridiplantae; Streptophyta; Magnoliopsida; Poales; Poaceae.
AUGAGUGAAGGGAAAGCCAAAGGUUUUCUUGAGGAUGAGCACGACACCUUAUGGUUUGAGGACCGUAUUUAUGUGCCCAAUAAUGCAGAGAUCAGGAAGUUGAUACUUCAGGAAGCUCAUGACUCACCAUACUCGAUACACCCCGGAAACACCAAGAUGUAUUUGGAUUUGAAGGAGUGUUUCUGGUGGACUGGUAUGAAGAAGGAUAUUGCCGAGUAUGUAGCCGUAUGUGAUGUAUGUCAGAGAGUGAAGGCAGAACAUCAGAAGCCAGCAGGAUUACUGCAGCCUAUGCCGAUACCCGAAUGGAAGUGGGAUAAGCUUGGCAUGGAUUUUAUCAUCGGAUUGCCCAGGACCCGAUCAGGAUAUGACUCUAUCUGGGUAGUAGUGGAUCGCUUGACCAAAGUAGCCCACUUUAUCCCCGUGAAAACCACUUAUACAAGUGCGAAGUUGGCCAAGAUAUACAUGACCAGGAUCGUAUGUCUGCACGGAGUUCCGAGGACCAUCGUAUCAAAUAGAGGAACACAGUUUACUUCAAAGUUUUGGCACCAGCUGCACCAGACUUUGGGGACCAGGCUAGAGUUUAGUACAGAUUUUCACCCGCAGACAUAUGGACAGACUGAGAGAGUCAAUCAGAUUCUGGAGGACAUGUUGAGAGCUUGUGCGCUAGAUUACGGAUCUAGUUGGGAUGACAACUUUCCCUAUGUGGAGUUCUCUUACAAUAACAGCUACCAGGCCAGUUUGAAGAUGGCACCGUUUGAAGCCUUGUAUGGAAGAAGAUGCCGGACACCGUUGAUGUGGGAUGAAGUUGGAGACCGCCAGUUGUUUGGACCGGAUUUGAUUAAGGAAUCUGAAGAGAAGGUUAAGCUGAUUCGGGAUAGACUGAAG